This is a long non-coding RNA of Sceloporus undulatus (fence lizard), 4142 nucleotides long. RefSeq lists it as uncharacterized. The transcript is spliced from 4 exons. Lineage: Eukaryota; Metazoa; Chordata; Lepidosauria; Squamata; Phrynosomatidae. The record is from RefSeq and is a predicted model, not a curated record.
UGUUUCUGCAGUGUGGAAGCAGCCAAGGUGCACUAUACCCAAAGCCAGCCAAGUUAUUUUGGUACCUGAUGUAGAAAAUCCCAUAAGUAUCUUUAUCAGUCCUUAAAUUUAACCCCCCCCCCCCAAAAAAAACCCUAGUAAUGACAAAACAUCUAUGACCCCAACACCUCAGCUCCUGGAGGCAGUCACCUCAUUUUGUCUAAUGCCAGGGUGAACCUUAGCUGAUAGUUUCUAAAGGUCAGUCACAGGCCUCCAUAUUCUCAAGACAAAUAAUGUAUGCAUGUCUUGAGCAAAUGCACCCUAAACACAGGAGAGGUACAAUGUUUGCUUGUAAAUGUUGCACAACAUUUACAGGUUUACCAGAAUGUAGUCAACCAAGGAAACCUGUUCCCUUAACAUUUUAUUGAUUCUGGAAAGGUGCCUAGUUCCUCUGCAAAAGGUUGUGAAGAAUGAAAAGCUGCUUUGGGGAUUUAUAUGCAUCUCAUGGGAGAUCAAGUCUUCAGUAUUCAACACUGUGCUCUCAAGAGACUGCAUUCUUGACUUCUGCCAUCUGCCCCUUUUUGGAAAAGAAACCACAUGCCUUAUUUCAUGUACAGUCACCUCCUUUCACUUUUAACAGCAUUGCAACAUGUGAACUAUAUGUCUGCCAUAACAAACCUGAUCUAAUCUUUGCACUGAUCAUGGAUGAACAAGAUAGGGGAAAUGCAGAAUUUUAAUAAGAGUUCUUUUCACAAGCAUCAGCAGUUUUCUGGUCUCAGUAUGUACACUUAGGUAAGGUUAAUCAAACCAGAGCUGCUGGAGGCAUAUCCACCUUACUUUAAGACAGAAACAAAGAUGCUUUGAUUCCAUCAUAUGAACCCAGUUUUGGAGCCUUAAUUAAGACUCUAAAAUCUCAAGACGCAAGUCCCAGGGCUUCUCACCUCCCAACCCCUAGACUUUAUGGCAAGGAGAGGCAUCUCAGGGCAAAAGCAAAGAUCACUGGAGAGCACAUUUUGCAUGUAGGAGCCUGGGAUCCCAAAUCCAUGUUGUAGUAUAUUCAGUUUUCAAAAAGAUCAGGUAUCUUUCAAGUGGAUUUAAAUAUCUUUUGUAAAUUAUAAAGUACAUAUGGUAUUUGAAAGCACACAAUAACAACAACAAUGGGAGUCAAUGUGGUUUUCUACAUCUGAGAACCCCCCCCCUUUUUCCUCUUCUUCCACUAUCUAGCUGAAAUAAUAAUAAUAAUAAUAAUAAUAAUAAUAAUAAUAAUAAUAAUUCUGACCAUGAUAUCCAUGAUUACAGUCACCAUAAGUCAGAAAUUAGUUGAAGGUACACAACAAAAACAAAUACAGAUUCUGCCCCACCCAUCUGCCCAGCAAAACUUCAAGCACUGGUGAAACCAAACUGUGUCUUCGUCCUGCUAUUGAUGAUAGGUUUUUUUUCUCUUGUACCUUAUCCGAUGCAGUUAUUGUGUGAAAGAGUACUGCUAAAGCAUAUAAUUUACCAGUGUUUUGCUCAGUAUGCAAAACCAGUUAUAAAUGCAGAUCACAUUUAAUAAUACCAUUCUCACCAGGCAAAUUGGAACAUUAGAUUGCCCGAUAGUUGCAUAUUUCUUGGUUGACUAAAACUGUCACAUGGUUGUUUCUUAUCAAAAGCAUGUUAUCAGUACUGAAUUUACUUGUCAGAUUUAUUUUGAUAACUAUUUUAUCAUACUUGCUCAGUUCACAUAGGCCACUCCAAACAGUUUUUAACUGAAUAUUGAAAUCGUUACCAGCAACACAACUUCACACAUCAUUUUUUUUAACCUGGAGGUCAUUUGGAAAGAGGCGUGUAUUCUAUGCAUACUCCAUAUAGGCAAUAAAGACACACACAAUUUUUUGCUGUGUGUACCUGCUGUUUGCAUGUAUAUGUUUUUCAAAUGAUACUGUAUGUGCUUUUUUUUUAACACAACCCAUUUUAAUGUAGGAAACCCAUUAAUUUCAAAGCAUAUUGAGUAGGGAUGUAAAUAAUAUUUGGCAAUUUAAUAUCCUUAGUAGGAGGUCUUGACCAGGAUGUCACCCCAUUAUGAGAGUUUUUGCACAAGUUUUAAUGAUUUUUUACAUUUCAGGACUUAUAUAUGCACAAAUGUGAAUAAUAUAUUUUGCACAAACAAAAUAUGAAAAAGACCCUGAAAAAGACACAAAAACUCUUAUCUUGCAUAGUUACAACAAAAAUUGUUAAAUGUUUCAUUUUCAUCUAUGAGAACAAGAUGACAAGAUGACAACAACAACAGCAAAGUAUCCCAUUUUGACAAGUAAGGGACUGGCCUGUUUGCCCAAUGUAGAGUGCUGAAGGGCAUUGCUGACACCAUAUAGCACAGAUCACACUGGAGAAUGAGCAUGUGAAGCCCCCCUAAUAUUGUGGGUGAUACCAUUGGACUUGUGAUGACAUUUCCUGUGUCGGCAGAGUUGGCAUCUUGGUUUGUGGCAAGACUUAGUACCUGUGUUGCCAUCUGUGUCGUCUGUUGUCCUGUAGCAAAAGCCUGCCGUUGCACUUUCUUCCUUUACCAACUGAUAAUUCCCCUGGAAUAAUUCCUGCAAUUACUGAAAACAGAAAGAGGUAAAUGAGAACUGAAGUGAGCAGCACUGUACACGUGAACAAGGUUCUUCUGUUCUGUUCGAUUGCUGCCUAUUGCCCAGGAUAUAAAAAUAUGAUGGGAGAGGAAGUUUUUAAAAACAUGACUAGAACCAGCAAUUAAGCAAGCACACUCCAGCAUGGUAUUAUAUAUGCCUUGUAAGAGGAGGAUCAUCUGUGACACAGGAAGGCAACUUCACAGGUCCAAGAGGGGAACUUGGACCACACUGACCCAAGUAUGGGCUGCACUGCUGCCACAUUGCUGAAGUUUGGUGGCUGCCAUUGUGAAACAUUGGUGGCAGACAUAACAGAUCUCUAUGGGGAUGCCAGAAUAUCCUUUUGUGUCAUCCAGCUCUUUGAGAGCACAACAAAGAGUGGUCAGAAAGUACCAUGGAAAAGAGGAGCAGGUUGGAAAAGUCAGGAAGCUUAUAUUUGCUGGCAUAAUUUGGAAGUGAUGUCAGUGCUGAUGGGAUGAAAAAACAGUUUUGUGAUUCUUUGGCAACAUGCUGCCCAUUCCCGAUGUAUGAGAAGAACUUCCACAAGACUGUACUUCCAGACUCAGAUACAGAAGUGGAAUCAAAGUACUGGAGGAAGUUACACAGUCAGACAUAUUGCUGUUUAAGGGUCUUGUAAGGCAUCCCUACAAAUGUUUUCCAUGACAGGGCACAGAUAUACUAUUUGUUCCCUAUGAAUUUGUUUGUUAUGAUCUGUGAAUUGUGAUCUUCCAGAACCUAAAUAUUAGUUCAUAGCUGAGAGACUAAAAUACAUGAUUCAUAUAUCUGCCUAUGUAUGGAAUUGCUGGAAUCAUGCCCUGGUCAGCUCCUGUUUAGACAUCAUAGCGUGCUAGUUGUUCCUCGGAGUCACAUAGUUCCUUCAUUGCAAAGCCAUCUACUGAGAGAGGCAAUAAACAAGGGUACAUUUGUAGGAGCCACCCAGUCCGGAAAAAAAAUAUAGAAGAAGAAAACAUUGUGAAAACAAAAUGAUCUGCACCCAUAUUUCUCAUCGUGCACCAUCUGUUCCAUUAUCUUGGUUCCUUUUCACAUGGAUCAGAAAUACAGAUAUAAUGUUUGCUUCAGGUAAACACCAUCAGUCUGUUCAUUGGAUUCAGUGCAAAUAUUCCCCAGUGUGUUUACUCAGAAACAUUUGUACUACAUAAGCAAGAACUGACUGCAAAAGACAGGAAAAUCCAGUUUAAAUCACUAGCAACAAAUUGUCCAGCUGUUUUAAAUCCUUGAUGGGUUAGAAACCAAUAGCUUCCUGUCUAGGACCUUGAGGAUUAUAGAAAAGAUUUCUCUCCCUUUCACUAUCUUCCAGGUAGUUUUGGCCAACGACAACAUUGAAUCAAACAAAAAUAAUGAAAUGGAUGUUUGGUGAUGGUGCUAGCCUAGCAGAGAAACAGCCAAAUACUCGUGUUGUUGUUGUUGUUGUUGUUUUGUACCUUCCCAUUGACUCUGAGUUAUGGUGAUAACUGUCACCUUGGCCUCAGAGGGAGCGAUCAGGCAGACCCAGCAACAUCAGGGACUGCCUGAAGGACGAGACUUCUCCCUCCUUUA